UAGUGUUAAUGUUAUAAGAGUGUAGUAUCAACUCACAAAGUUAUCAGGUUAAAUAGCUUUAUCAACUAAUAAAAAUGUUAUUGCAUCACUAAUGUUAUACUGUAGCCCCGCCACGAUAUCUAGAAAAAUUAUUUUGCUGAGUAUCGUAGUAAAAGCUAAGAUAUGAUGUUAAGAAUUUUUUUGAGUCGUGCAACAACAUUAACAGCAAACUAUAAUACAAA
This 221-nucleotide unclassified non-coding RNA is filed under the name Rickettsia massiliae. Lineage: Bacteria; Pseudomonadati; Pseudomonadota; Alphaproteobacteria; Rickettsiales; Rickettsiaceae. The record is from RNAcentral.